GGGGAAUAUUGCGCAAUGGGGGAAACCCUGACGCAGCAACGCCGCGUGAGCGAUGAAGGUCUUCGGAUUGUAAAGCUCUGUCUUUAGGGACGAUAAUGACGGUACCUAAGGAGGAAGCCACGGCUAACUACGUGCCAGCAGCCGCGGUAAUACGUAGGUGGCAAGCGUUGUCCGGAUUUACUGGGCGUAAAGAGUAUGUAGGCGGAUAUUUAAGUCAGAUGUGAAAUUCCCGGGCUUAACCUGGGCGCUGCAUUUGAUACUGGAUAUCUAGAGUGUGGGAGAGGAAAGUGGAAUUCCUAGUGUAGCGGUGAAAUGCGUAGAGAUUAGGAAGAACACCAGUGGCGAAGGCGGCUUUCUGGACCAUAACUGACGCUGAGAUACGAAAGCGUGGGGAGCAAAC
This 400-nucleotide ribosomal RNA is filed under the name uncultured bacterium. Its description in RNAcentral is "bacterial SSU rRNA". It matches the Rfam family "Bacterial small subunit ribosomal RNA", at positions 356 to 773 of the family's 1533-position model. The record is from RNAcentral.